GUCGAGCGAGUGUAUCCAGAGCUUGCUCUUAUGAAGUUAGCGGCGGACGGGUGAGUAACACGUGGGUAACCUGCCCAUAAGACUGGGAUAACUCCGGGAAACCGGGGCUAAUACCGGAUAACAUUUUGAACCGCAUGGUUCGAAAUUGAAAGGCGGCUUCGGCUGUCACUUAUGGAUGGACCCGCGUCGCAUUAGCUAGUUGGUGAGGUAACGGCUCACCAAGGCAACGAUGCGUAGCCGACCUGAGAGGGUGAUCGGCCACACUGGGACUGAGACACGGCCCAGACUCCUACGGGAGGCAGCAGUAGGGAAUCUUCCGCAAUGGACGAAAGUCUGACGGAGCAACGCCGCGUGAGUGAUGAAGGCUUUCGGGUCGUAAAACUCUGUUGUUAGGGAAGAACAAGUGCUAGUUGAAUAAGCUGGCACCUUGACGGUACCUAACCAGAAAGCCACGGCUAACUACGUGCCAGCAGCCGCGGUAAUACGUAGGUGGCAAGCGUUAUCCGGAAUUAUUGGGCGUAAAGCGCGCGCAGGUGGUUUCUUAAGUCUGAUGUGAAAGCCCACGGCUCAACCCGGGAGGGUCAUUGGAAACUGGGAGACUUGAGUGCACAAGAGGAAAGCGCAAUUCCCUAUGUAGCGGCGUAAAAGCGGGAGAGAUAUUGAGGGA
RNAcentral lists this ribosomal RNA (667 nucleotides) under Bacillus sp. 0112ALTE14,2. Its description in RNAcentral is "bacterial SSU rRNA". It matches the Rfam family "Bacterial small subunit ribosomal RNA", at positions 61 to 706 of the family's 1533-position model. Lineage: Bacteria; Bacillati; Bacillota; Bacilli; Caryophanales; Bacillaceae. The record is from RNAcentral.